RNAcentral lists this ribosomal RNA (322 nucleotides) under Ixodes acutitarsus. Its description in RNAcentral is "partial 12S ribosomal RNA". Lineage: Eukaryota; Metazoa; Arthropoda; Arachnida; Ixodida; Ixodidae. The record is from RNAcentral.
AAACUAGGAUUAGAUAGCCUAUUAUUUAUAGCUUUAUAUUGGUAGUAAAUAAAAUUUAUGAAAUCAUAAGAUUUUGGCGGUAUUUUAAGCUUUUUAGGGGAAUUUGCUCUUUAAUGGAUAAAACGCCUAAAUCUUACUUAAUUGUUUGUAUACCACUAUAGUUAAAUAUAUUGAAUAAUAAUAUUUAAGAUCUUAUUAUAUAUUAAGUCAAGGUGCAAUAAAAAAUUAUGAAUGAAGUGAAUUACAGUGAUUAUAAUUUAUUUAAAAGUAAAAUUUUAAUAAAAUGAUAAUUUGAAUUAAGCUCUAAAAUAUGUACAUAUCG